RNAcentral lists this ribosomal RNA (225 nucleotides) under Escherichia coli. RNAcentral's name for it is "partial 16S ribosomal RNA". It matches the Rfam family "Bacterial small subunit ribosomal RNA", at positions 1 to 222 of the family's 1533-position model. The record is from RNAcentral. Lineage: Bacteria; Pseudomonadati; Pseudomonadota; Gammaproteobacteria; Enterobacterales; Enterobacteriaceae. RNAcentral also lists the same sequence under 1 other name.
AAAUUGAAGAGUUUGAUCAUGGCUCAGAUUGAACGCUGGCGGCAGGCCUAACACAUGCAAGUCGAACGGUAACAGGAAGCAGCUUGCUGUUUCGCUGACGAGUGGCGGACGGGUGAGUAAUGUCUGGGAAACUGCCUGAUGGAGGGGGAUAACUACUGGAAACGGUAGCUAAUACCGCAUAACGUCGCAAGACCAAAGAGGGGGACCUUCGGGCCUCUUGCCAUC